This 252-nucleotide ribosomal RNA is filed under the name uncultured bacterium. RNAcentral's name for it is "partial 16S ribosomal RNA". It matches the Rfam family "Bacterial small subunit ribosomal RNA", at positions 524 to 776 of the family's 1533-position model. The record is from RNAcentral.
UACGUAGGUCCCGAGCGUUGUCCGGAUUUAUUGGGCGUAAAGCGAGCGCAGGUGGUUUAUUAAGUCUGAUGUGAAAGGCAGUGGCUCAGCCAUUGUAUGCAUUGGAAACUGGUAGACUUGAGUGCAGGAGAGGAGAGUGGAAUUCCAUGUGUAGCGGUGAAAUGCGUAGAUAUAUGGAGGAACACCGGUGGCGAAGGCGAUUCUCUGGACUGUAACUGACGCUGAGGCUCGAAAGCGUGGGGAGCAAACAGG